This 497-nucleotide ribosomal RNA is filed under the name uncultured bacterium. RNAcentral's name for it is "partial 16S ribosomal RNA". It matches the Rfam family "Bacterial small subunit ribosomal RNA", at positions 28 to 507 of the family's 1533-position model. The record is from RNAcentral.
GAUGAACGCUGGCGGCGUGCCUAAUACAUGCAAGUCGAGCGGACAGACGAGGAGCUUGCUCCUCUGACGUUAGCGGCGGACGGGUGAGUAACACGUGGAUAACCUACCUAUAAGACUGGGAUAACUUCGUGAAACCGGAGCUAAUACCGGAUAAUAUAUUGAACCGCAUGGUUCAAUAGUGAAAGACGGUUUUGCUGUCACUUAUAGAUGGAUCCGCGCCGCAUUAGCUAGUUGGUAAGGUAACGGCUUACCAAGGCAACGAUGCGUAGCCGACCUGACAGGGUGAUCGGCCACACUGGAACUGAGACACGGUCCAGACUCCUACGGGAGGCAGCAGUAGGGAAUCUUCCGCAAUGGGCGAAAGCUUGACGGAGCAACGCCGCGUGAGUGAUGAAGGUCUUCGGAUCGUAAAACUCUGUUAUUAGGGAAGAACAAAUGUGUAAGUAACUAUGCACGUCUUGACGGUACCUAAUCAGAAAGCCACGGCUAACUACGUG